AUGCGUUGAGCUGACCAGUGCUAAUGAACCGUGAGGCUUAACCUGACAACACCGAAG
RNAcentral lists this ribosomal RNA (57 nucleotides) under Morganella morganii. Its description in RNAcentral is "partial 23S ribosomal RNA". The record is from RNAcentral. Lineage: Bacteria; Pseudomonadati; Pseudomonadota; Gammaproteobacteria; Enterobacterales; Morganellaceae.